CUGGGGGUGAUGGUAAAAAGCCACAGGAAAAUGUGUUUUCUGUGCCGAUGAGAUGGUAAGGAAAAAACCCUCUUCUUUUUUAACUUCCUAAAGGCGCAGAAUUCAUGCCUCACUUUCUUUUCCCCUUUUCUGUUUAGUGUUUAUCAUGCAUGCUGUGUGUGUGUACGUGUGUGAGUGUUUGUGUGUAUGUGGGGUGAGUGUGGCGGGGCAUCAUUGGGUGGAAUGAAAUUUAUCAAAGUCAGUGGAGCAUUGUGAUGAAAGCUUUGUGGGGGAAUUUCAACCACGACUAUAGGCAGGGUCCAUGCAAAGUGGUUAGCUUUCUCUUGCUUUUUAAUGAGAAUUCUCCCCAGCUAUUUUGGUUCACAGGGUCUCAGUAUGGCUUUAACCUUUGCUGUUUAUACUGUCAGCUGAAUUGGAUGGUGAGCUAGGUUGUGAGAAUUAGAAUCAUCCGAAAGCUGUUGAGCGUGCCGAGCAUCUGUGCAGGCAUCUAUCUUCCCGCUACUUCCCCAAAGACAAAUCCUCCAUAUUCAAUUUGUCCCUUCCACUUUUCAUUUGGAUGCUGAUUGAUUCACAGCUUCCCCAUCCACCAUAAUCACCAAAUAAUUUACCUAGCUGUUAUCAAGAGGCAGAUAAUGGAAAAGGAAAUAAAUCCCAAUCUUUACUUUGUCGGGCCAGAACAUUACAAUCAAAUCCCGGAGUUGUUUGUUAGAAAACAAGAACGGAAAAUGGAAGGGAACGCUUUAGUUAUUUGGGUGAUUGCUUUUGCGGUUUAUUACCUGUGCUCUUUGUCUUUGUGUCCAAAUGGCUUCACACACCUAAGGCCAGACAUUUAUUUAUAAUAACCUGGCACAUUACUGUAAAUGGCACGGCUGAGACCAGCUAUGAUGUCCUCUGCUACUCGCAGAAUGAGCACAGCCCAUUGCCUAUGCAUUUACGACCCCAGGUACAGCAGCACAUGAUAUACAAUUGACAUUAACUCACUACCACUGUCAAUGGAGCACGGUAAACACAUUCAUGAUUGCAGCACAAUAGCCUUGCGUCCAAGCAUGAUGGAUGACUCACCAUCAAACUACCUUUUGAUGACAGAUUCGCUCUGAUGCAUUUAAUGCUGCAGGUUUUCAACAGUUUGGGGUGGUACACAGCAGCUAACAUGGAAAACAAAGUAUGCAUCAGCAACGCACUAUGAGUUGUCAUGUCAGUUUUUAUUAUUUAAGCUGCUUUUUUUUUUUUGAGGCAAUAUUUGAUCUGCUGCUGAUCCAUUGCUGCUCAUUGGUCAUAUCUUGGAAAUUCUGAUAUUGAAUUAAAUGUUCAGUAAAGAGUUUUAAAUUAUUAACAGACAGGAAAAAUAAAUUCAUAUAUCAUCCAUUUCGAACUGCUAUGAGCAUGUGGUGAAAAGGGCUCUAAGUAAAGAUAUCCAGAAAUCUUUCUCUCUUUAACACACACCAACAGUUCAAAUCUGCAGAUUUUCUCAGACCACAUUUUCACUGUAGGUUGAAUAUAGCGCUUUUAUACCAGGCUCCAGACAGUUCCCAACCUGCCAACUGCUGACUAAAAUCCCAGUAAUAGUUUUUCACAUUUAUGUAACACUUGCAUAACAUGAUGGGUUCCAUUAUUUAAAAAAAAUACACCCUGAAAUGAUUUUUUUUAACUGUAGAAAAUGCACCCAUCAUCUCAUGCAGCCUCGUUGACACUCUGCCAAACAUCUUUAACUAUCACUUUAUUUUAGUCCUUAAACUGAGAACUUGUUGUCCUGACUCCUAUAACAAACAGGCACUGACAUUGGCACUGCUGGCUCCCACUCAUACCUCUGGCUAUUGUAUCUGUAAUUGAACUCUAGUCCACUGCUACUCAACAUUCCUGACCACUCUGCCUGUGACAACUUUGCAUUACAGUGCGGUGAAGGUAGGAAGGUCAGAGCAAGAACAUACUGCAAGACUAUCAGAGAUCCGACUAGGGUUUCUGCUGCCGCUUAUGCUUAUCUGCUUUAUAAUUAUCCUGAAUAUAGUCCAGUUUUGCAUGAGUAAAAAGUGUAAAAUUCAUAGGAUUAAAUCCUGCAAAAAUGUUAAUUUAAUACUCAGAUAACAGAGCACGGAUGCAGCGGAGUUCAAAAGUCCAAAUAGAAAGUCUAUUUAUAGGAGCUCUCAUUUAUGACACAUUAAAUUUAAUAUUCUAUGCUUACUAAAAGCCUGAAUGUGUAUUACUUUGGUUUACUCAAUCAUUACAACAUAUAUUUUUAAUUAUGCAUUGUUUCCAACAACAGUAGCCAAGUUGAUAGCAUUGCAGCAUAAUCAAUAGAUGAUGAGUUUGUAGACAGCCACACAGAGAAGGUACAUUUUUAGUCUCAUGCUUUACUCACUUUCACGCUUAACCACAUGCAUACAUUUGAAUCAACAGAAACAAAACAGAAGUGCAAAAGAGGAAAAGGCUAAAUCAAUUUCAAUCAGCAGGAACCUGACCUUAUGCUAACUAUGAGCAACUGAGGCACUCAGCAACAGAGGAAAGCUGAGGCUGACCACAUUAGUGAGCAGAUAUGUUAUUAUUAACCUGGCUUAAAGGAGAGCUGCAGAGCAUACUUGUCAAAUCUCAGCAGAUGCUUCAUAUUAACGUCAUGAUAUAUGAGGUAGCAUUGAUUAAUAACAACCACUAUUCAAAGCAGUGUGUAUAGACAAGAUCUGACACACAGGAUGAUGAUAAUCCUUAUGAGUCAUAUGUUAGCUGCACCUAAAUGUUACCUUCCAACGGGGAUUGCAUGUAAGACCCCUGGAGUAGUCCCCACUGUAGUAUCAAGCUAACCUUUGAUCAGUAAACAGAAACAGAUCUUGUAUUAAUUUGAAAACUCUGCACAGAGAUGCUUCAGUGAGGAAAAUGUCUAUUUUAUAAUUACCCUGUAGUUAAGUUUAAUUAUGCUCAUGUGAAAGAUAAAGGGAAGCAAAGACAACGCUCUGUUGAAUGUUGAUAUGAAGCUCUGGCAAUUGUUUAUCAGGAAAACUAUAUUAUGCUUAUUUAUUUUCACACAUAUCUUCUGUGCUUAUCAGUUGUUCUCAUCACCUGACCAUAUCUAUCCAAUAACACCACAACACACCCUCAUAAUUAGCUCAUCACACAGCUGCUGUUGUUUUAAAUACGGCUUUCUUUCCCUCCAGCUCAGUUGUGCCGAUUGCCGCCAAGUCCUUCAGUCGUUUCCAUCUUCAUCAGCCUCAUCAUUCCAUCAGCCUCAGAGGACAUCAUCAAACAUCUUCUCAUCAUCGCCCAGUCUUGGCAGUUCUUCAUCUUCACUAUCUCAAUAGUCUCAGAUGACAUCAUUGGCCAUCACCUCCACUGCUAGUGUCUGGACUCCUUGAGGAGAUGGAUUCAGCUGCAGCUCAGGGCAGACAUCCUCGAAUCGCUCUUUCCUCUUGAGUUCAAACGGC
Xyrichtys novacula (pearly razorfish) is the source of this 3410-nucleotide non-coding RNA. Lineage: Eukaryota; Metazoa; Chordata; Actinopteri; Labriformes; Labridae. The record is from the annotation of a GenBank genome assembly.